This is a long non-coding RNA of Pipistrellus kuhlii (Kuhl's pipistrelle), 828 nucleotides long. RefSeq lists it as uncharacterized. NCBI's taxonomy places the organism in Eukaryota, Metazoa, Chordata, Mammalia, Chiroptera, Vespertilionidae. The record is from RefSeq and is a predicted model, not a curated record. The transcript is spliced from 2 exons.
GGUAAUGUAUUAAUAAAACCUUGCAUAUGGACAUUAGCAACAUUCUAUACUUAAGAUACAGAAAAAACUGUAUAAAUACAGGAAAUACUCUUCUUCAAGCCAUUUCUUUUUAAAAAUAAGCUAUAAAUAAAAGUAAAAGUAGUAUUUGAUGUUAUGUUGUACUUUAAUGUUUAUAAGUGUCACUUCCUGCCCUUUUUAUAUUAAUAUUUGUUUUAGUAAGGAGAGUAAUGUUGAAAAAGAUGAUUGAUGAUUGAAAUAAAAGUUAGAUUGAUGAGUGAAUGAAUAGAUUAAUCACCAAGCAACCAAUGAAUCAGUUUGGGAGCUGGAGCUAGAAACAAACAAUCUAAAUGAAGAUCACAAAUCCACAUGCCUAUAUGGACUAGAUAAGUAGUAUACAGAGCAGUUAUAAGAUAAAGCAUCACAGUGGGUAUUCUGCCUCCAAAAUUAGAAAUCUAUAGGGAUUGAGCAGAACUGUGACAAACUGAAGCUGCCUUGCUGCAUUUCAAGGGACCAGCUAAUAUUCAGUCCUAUUCAGUUUUUGCCAUUUAUAAAUGCAAACACUGCUACCACAUAAUUUCAUGUUUUAAGAAAAGUGGAAAUCCAGAUGUAUAAAGUAAAUUCUCCUGAUUGUAAAAUGUUGGUAAUUAAUUCAAUUUAAAAAAUUUUAUUCAUACGUUUCAAACAAAACAUCUAUGGUUUGAAUUUGCAACCUCUAAUCUAGAAGACACUAUGAAAAUAUAGUAGAACUGGACACAUUCUUAUUCCUAUUUUCAUUUUUAACAAUAGUGAGGAAUAUUUACCGAAUGUAUAAUAAAUCAUUUACUAUUU